Molecule: ribosomal RNA, 963 nt
Filed under: uncultured organism
Description: bacterial SSU rRNA
Rfam family: Bacterial small subunit ribosomal RNA
Source: RNAcentral
CGGUAAUACGGAGGAUGCAAGCGUUAUCCGGAUUCAUUGGGUUUAAAGGGUGCGUAGGCGGAUUGGUAAGUCAGUGGUGAAAUCCUCUCGCUUAACGGGAGAAUUGCCGUUGAUACUAUCAAUCUUGAGUACACUUGAAGUGGNCGGAAUGUGUCAUGUACCGGUGAAAUGCAUAGAUAUGACACAGAACACCGAUUGCGAAGGCAGCUCACUAAAUUGUAACUGACGCUGAGGCACGAAAGCGUGGGGAGCAAACAGGAUUAGAUACCCUGGUAGUCCACGCUGUAAACGAUGAUCACUAGCUGUUGGCGAUACACUGUCAGCGGCUGAGCGAAAGUAUUAAGUGAUCCACCUGGGGAGUACGAUCGCAAGGUUGAAACUCAAAGGAAUUGACGGGGGCCCGCACAAGCGGAGGAGCAUGUGGUUUAAUUCGAUGAUACGCGAGGAACCUCACCUAGGCUUAAAUGCUUUUUGACCGUCCUGGAAACAGGAUUUCCCUUCGGGGCAAAUUGCAAGGUGCUGCAUGGUUGUCGUCAGCUCGUGCCGUGAGGUGUCGGGUUAAGUCCCAUAACGAGCGCAACCCCUAUUCUUAGUUGCCAUCAGGUAAUGCUGGGAACUCUAAGGAAACUGCCUACGCAAGUAGUGAGGAAGGUGGGGAUGACGUCAAAUCAGCACGGCCCUUACGCCUAGGGCUACACACGUGCUACAAUGGCCAGCAUAAUGGGUUGCUACCUGGUAACAGGAUGCUAAUCUCUAAAUCUGGUCUCAGUUCGGAUUGAAGUCUGCAACUCGACUUCAUGAAGUUGGAUUCGCUAGUAAUCGCGCAUCAGCAAUGGCGCGGUGAUACGUUCCCGGGCAUUGUACACACCGCCCGUCAAGCCAUGGAAGCUGGGAGUGCACUGAAGUCUGUAACCGCAAGGAGCGGCCACUAGGUAAACCAUAACUGGGCUAAGUCGUCACAAG